GGUGCUUCUCAGGUGAUGCCCCCCAGAAUCGAGCUCCCUCCUCUCUGGUUCCGGGUGUGUCACCCAAGAACCACA
This is a non-coding RNA of Myotis brandtii (Brandt's bat), 75 nucleotides long. Lineage: Eukaryota; Metazoa; Chordata; Mammalia; Chiroptera; Vespertilionidae. The record is from Rfam.